RNAcentral lists this microRNA (24 nucleotides) under Amborella trichopoda. RNAcentral's name for it is "atr-miR8605". Lineage: Eukaryota; Viridiplantae; Streptophyta; Magnoliopsida; Amborellales; Amborellaceae. The record is from miRBase by way of RNAcentral.
CACAUUAAUCUCGACCAUUGGAUG